Molecule: ribosomal RNA, 495 nt
Filed under: Blastomyces percursus
Lineage: Eukaryota; Fungi; Ascomycota; Eurotiomycetes; Onygenales; Ajellomycetaceae
Description: LSU rRNA
Rfam family: Eukaryotic large subunit ribosomal RNA
Source: RNAcentral
CCGAGUUGUAAUUUGCAGAGGAUGCUUCGGGCGUGGCCGCGGUCUAAGUCCCCUGGAACGGGGCGUCGCAGAGGGUGAGAAUCCCGUCUUCGGCCGGCCGGCUUCGCCCAUGUGAAGCUCCUUCGACGAGUCGAGUUGUUUUGGGAAUGCAGCUCUAAAUGGGUGGUAAAUUUCAUCUAAAGCUAAAUAUUGGUCGGAGACCGAUAGCGCACAAGUAGAGUGAUCGAAAGAUGAAAAGCACUUUGAAAAGAGAGUUAAACAGCAUGUGAAAUUGUUGAAAGGGAAGCGUUUGCGACCAGAGUCGGCCGCGGGGGUUCAGCGGGCAUUCGUUGCCCGUGCACUCCCCCGCGGGCGGGCCAGCGUCGGUUUCGACGGCCGGUCAAAGGCCCCCGGAAUGUGUCGCCUCUCGGGGCGUCUUAUAGCCGGGGGUGCAAUGCGGCCAGUCGGGACCGAGGAACGCGCUUCGGCACGGACGCUGGCUUAAUGGUCGUAAGC